Molecule: unclassified non-coding RNA, 255 nt
Filed under: plant metagenome
Description: partial contains small subunit ribosomal RNA, internal transcribed spacer 1, and 5.8S ribosomal RNA
Rfam family: Eukaryotic small subunit ribosomal RNA (bases 1-51)
Source: RNAcentral
GGAAGUAAUCGUAACAAGGUUUCCGUAGGUGAACCUGCGGAAGGAUCAUUACUGAGUGAGGGCCCCUCGGGGUCCAACCUCCCACCCGUGUUUAACGAACCUUGUUGCUUCGGCGGGCCCGCCUCACGGCCGCCGGGGGGCAUCUGCCCCCGGGCCCGCGCCCGCCGAAGCCACCUGUGAACGCUGUCUGAAGUAUGCAGUCUGAGACAAUUAUUAAAUUAAUUAAAACUUUCAACAACGGAUCUCUUGGUUCCG